RNAcentral lists this long non-coding RNA (565 nucleotides) under Homo sapiens (human). Its description in RNAcentral is "HSALNT0294276". The record is from RNAcentral. Lineage: Eukaryota; Metazoa; Chordata; Mammalia; Primates; Hominidae.
CACAUUUAAGCGUGAUAUUUGAUUUAUAUGAGCAUCAGGAACUAGAUAUUCAGGCAUAAUUCAGCAUACUUUGUGCAGAAUGAAUUGUUAAGUGCAUCUAUAGAAAACGAAUGAUUGGUAUUCAGCCAAGCUUUGCCUAUGUCUUUCCAUGACCAAAAACAAGUCAGACUUCAAAAGCUGCCAGAUUAUUGUGAAAGGAGAAACACUGUUUUCGAAGGCUGCUGAUAAUGCCUAUUAGCCAGAAGAAAGAGCCUGAAUCAUUCAAAGGUUUUCCAUCUAGUAAAGAAGUGUGGUAAAAAUCUUGCCCAGAUCUGCAUGUGCUAAGCAUCUACGUAAGUUGGAGCAUCAUAUUAAUGACACCCAGUGAAGAAACGAAAGAAUGAAGUGUAAUUACUAUAUCAAAAAUCCACAGAAUGUGAAAGUAUAAAGGAAAACUCUCAGGUGAGACUCGAUUAUUUUUAUUUCAAAGAUCUAGGUAAAAAUGUGAACAGAUUGGGAGGCUGAGGCAGGAGAAUCACUUGAACCCAGGAGGCAGAAGUUGCAGUGAGCCAAGAUUGCACCAUUG